GACGAACGCUGGCGGCGUGCUUAACACAUGCAAGUCGAACGGAAAGGCCCUGCUUUUGUGGGGUGCUCGAGUGGCGAACGGGUGAGUAACACGUGAGUAACCUGCCCUUGACUUUGGGAUAACUUCAGGAAACUGGGGCUAAUACCGGAUAGGAUCUCCUGCUGCAUGGUGGGGGUUGGAAAGUUUCGGCGGUUGGGGCUGGACUCGCGGCUUAUCCGCUUGUUGGUGGGGUAGUGGCUUACCAAGGCUUUGACGGGUAGCCGGCCUGAGAGGGUUAACGGCCACAUGGGGCCUGAGAUACGGCCCAGACGCCUACGGGAGGCAGCAGUGGGGAAUAUUGCACAAUGGGCGGAAGCCUGAUGCAGCAACGCCGCGUGCGGGAUGACGGCCUUCGGGUGGUAAACCGCUGUCGCAUGUGACGAAGCGUGAGUGACGGUAAUGGGUAAAGAAGCACCGGCUAACUACGUG
Molecule: ribosomal RNA, 468 nt
Filed under: uncultured bacterium
Lineage: Bacteria
Description: partial 16S ribosomal RNA
Rfam family: Bacterial small subunit ribosomal RNA
Source: RNAcentral